Long non-coding RNA from Sebastes umbrosus (honeycomb rockfish), 1072 nucleotides. RefSeq lists it as uncharacterized. NCBI's taxonomy places the organism in Eukaryota, Metazoa, Chordata, Actinopteri, Perciformes, Sebastidae. The transcript has 3 exons. The record is from RefSeq and is a predicted model, not a curated record.
UGAAGCACCUGUCCUUAGCAUAGACUGCUACUGGGUCAUUUCAAGUUAGGAACGUUCCUAUAGCAGCCAAUCAGAGAGCCUGAGUCAUGUCACGUGACGUCCACUCCCUCACCUCUGUCGACGCAACUCGGCCACACCUUGCAGUAGCUAUACCAACUAGCUGCUAGUUUAAUAGUUGCUGUCAGCAUUUCAACCCUGUUUUAUGAAGAAAAGAGAGAUGUGGUAGCUAAUGGUAAUCCAUGCCGACUUUUCUUCUCCUCUAGCAGCGACAGCCUGUGAAUAAAAGGAGGUUUACUGCAACCUGAAGAAUUUACCAAGAGCUCUGCUGAAGCAAUGACAGAUGCACGGCCCAUAUUAUGUCUACUGCUCAGGUCGCCCCUGAAACUUUCGGCCCUGGAUGAGAUUAGCAGCACUUGUCAGCGUGCACAAUGCAAAGGAGACUGUACCCGAGGCCACUUUACCCUGAAGCUGGUCUUAACUGUACCUUCUACCAUCACAUCUGCGGAGAGGACAUUUCAAGCGGUAAAGUGCAUAAAGACCUACAGCCGUAACAGAAUGGAACAAGGAGGACUUUUACAACAAAGCUGUUGGCAUCUUUGUCCAGAGGGAUAAGCGCACGGACUUUGUCUGCUAAUAAAAAAACCAAGAUGGCGACAGCCAAAAUGCCGAACUCGAGGCUUCAAAACGGCAGUCCACAAACCAAUGGGUGACAUCACGGUGUUUACGUCGACAGCAGAGAAGUGACACUUUGUAUAUUUAUAAUAUAAUGUGUGACCCCUUUUGACCAUAACAAUGGUGUACAAACUGAUAAGUGUUGGCAGAGACUCUCUCUUUGGUUAUUUCUGUGUCUGUUGGUCACAACUGAAGAAUGACAGGACUGCAGAAUAAAGAAAAUAAGAAACAAAAGGAGGGAGGGUGAGUGAACGUGCCCCAUUAGGAAAGAAGAGCAUUUUCUUAUUGGUCCCAGCGACCUGAGGAUGGACCCAUGCCUGCACUGAUUGGAGUGAAUUUUCUGCCGAGCUAUCAACAGCACAGCCGUCGGAAAAUAGGAAAAUAAAGCAGGACAAUCUCC